GCGAGGGAAGGUAAGAGUACACGCGGUGGGGACUGCUAGCGGGCAGUCAUCUGCAAUUGCUACCCGGACAAUAGGCAGGGUACAGAUCACAGGCACUGCUGACUAGCCUAUAAAUAAAAUAUCUUCUUCACCCGACCAACUUGCUGUAGGGUCUGAGAGCUGAGGUGACACGACUUCUAUUGCGAUCCUUGGCAACAACACUAGUCUGAUCAAUGGUAUUGCAGGGUAUGCUACAGAUUCAUUUGUGGCAGGACUAGAUGCAACCCAGCAUUCAGUCUCAGGGAGUGAAGGAGUGACCGAGGAAAUAACUCAAAGCGCGAGACCCCUGACAACAGAAUCUGCACCCUGCUUAAACAACAGUUUGGUCAAGACUUGUAACAAAGAAAAUGAGUUUUCAAGUCCCUCCAUAUCGUUGGCAAGCUUCUACCCGUCAACACCACUGUCCAUGGACAACCGAAAGAGACAGUAAAGGAGAUGAAAAGCAACAACUCACGAACAAAUAUUUGAAAGAACAAACAGCAGAGUGUAUACUACGCCGACAAAAAUUAGAACUACAAAUGAAAAAACUCGAACUGGAAGUCUGGCUGCUGGAAGCUAAGAAAAAAAGAUAGAGAAAGAGAUGAAUGAUAAUUAAUUUUGCAGUACUGCCAGUGUAUGCAUUUUUGUACAUUGGAGUGGAUGUGUAUGCAGUUAAUUUUUUUAAAAUUAUGUCCUUGAUCUUAGAAUGUGCACAUCUGUUAAUCUAUUGUUUAAGUGGUGUAUAUUUGUUUUUGUUUUUUUUUUAUCUCGUCUAGAAAUAAAAGAUGUCAUAAGCAACAAAGUUUCUCAAUGGUUUUUCUUGUCUGUGCCUUGGUAGUAUUAGUAUGUGCUAUAUUCUGUGUCACCCUGACCUCGUUUUCUUUACUGGUGUGUGAGAAAUGCAAUCAGCCAAUUUCAGGCAACUUCCCCAGCAGUAACUCUUGCUCUCUCCUGUGCUUGCAUAUUGUAUCUCCUAUCUACAAGGUUUUCAUCUGCACCAUGGUUUUCG
Pomacea canaliculata is the source of this 1027-nucleotide long non-coding RNA. RefSeq lists it as uncharacterized. The record is from RefSeq and is a predicted model, not a curated record. NCBI's taxonomy places the organism in Eukaryota, Metazoa, Mollusca, Gastropoda, Architaenioglossa, Ampullariidae. The transcript has 4 exons.